GAUGAACGCUAGCUACAGGCUUAACACAUGCAAGUCGAGGGGAAACGAUGAGAGAGCUUGCUCUCUUAGUCGUCGACCGGCGCACGGGUGAGUAACGCGUAUCCAACCUGCCUCUGACCAAGGGAUAACCCGUCGAAAGUCGGACUAAUACCUUAUGCAGUCGUCGGAAGUCAUCUGAUGACGACGAAAGAUUUCAUCGGUGAGAGAUGGGGAUGCGUCUGAUUAGCUUGUUGGCGGGGUAACGGCCCACCAAGGCGACGAUCAGUAGGGGUUCUGAGAGGAAGGUCCCCCACAUUGGAACUGAGACACGGGCCAAACUCCUACGGGAGGCAGCAGUGAGGAAUAUUGGUCAAUGGGCGUAAGCCUGAACCAGCCAAGUAGCGUGCAGGAUGACGGCCCUAUGGGUUGUAAACUGCUUUUAGGCGGGGAUAAAGUGAGGGACGUGUCCUUCUUUGCAGGUACCGCAUGAAUAAGGACCGGCUAAUUCCGUG
This 491-nucleotide ribosomal RNA is filed under the name uncultured bacterium. Its description in RNAcentral is "partial 16S ribosomal RNA". It matches the Rfam family "Bacterial small subunit ribosomal RNA", at positions 28 to 507 of the family's 1533-position model. The record is from RNAcentral.